RNAcentral lists this ribosomal RNA (1112 nucleotides) under Escherichia coli. RNAcentral's name for it is "bacterial SSU rRNA". It matches the Rfam family "Bacterial small subunit ribosomal RNA", at positions 66 to 1174 of the family's 1533-position model. The record is from RNAcentral. Lineage: Bacteria; Pseudomonadati; Pseudomonadota; Gammaproteobacteria; Enterobacterales; Enterobacteriaceae.
ACAGGAAAAAGCUUGCUUCUUUGCUGACGAGUGGCGGACGGGUGAGUAAUGUCUGGGAAACUGCCUGAUGGAGGGGGAUAACUACUGGAAACGGUAGCUAAUACCGCAUAACGUCGCAAGACCAAAGAGGGGGACCUUCGGGCCUCUUGCCAUCGGAUGUGCCCAGAUGGGAUUAGCUAGUAGGUGGGGUAACGGCUCACCUAGGCGACGAUCCCUAGCUGGUCUGAGAGGAUGACCAGCCACACUGGAACUGAGACACGGUCCAGACUCCUACGGGAGGCAGCAGUGGGGAAUAUUGCACAAUGGGCGCAAGCCUGAUGCAGCCAUGCCGCGUGUAUGAAGAAGGCCUUCGGGUUGUAAAGUACUUUCAGCGGGGAGGAAGGGAGUAAAGUUAAUACCUUUGCUCAUUGACGUUACCCGCAGAAGAAGCACCGGCUAACUCCGUGCCAGCAGCCGCGGUAAUACGGAGGGUGCAAGCGUUAAUCGGAAUUACUGGGCGUAAAGCGCACGCAGGCGGUUUGUUAAGUCAGAUGUGAAAUCCCCGGGCUCAACCUGGGAACUGCAUCUGAUACUGGCAAGCUUGAGUCUCGUAGAGGGGGGUAGAAUUCCAGGUGUAGCGGUGAAAUGCGUAGAGAUCUGGAGGAAUACCGGUGGCGAAGGCGGCCCCCUGGACGAAGACUGACGCUCAGGUGCGAAAGCGUGGGGAGCAAACAGGAUUAGAUACCCUGGUAGUCCACGCCGUAAACGAUGUCGACUUGGAGGUUGUGCCCUUGAGGCGUGGCUUCCGGAGCUAACGCGUUAAGUCGACCGCCUGGGGAGUACGGCCGCAAGGUUAAAACUCAAAUGAAUUGACGGGGGCCCGCACAAGCGGUGGAGCAUGUGGUUUAAUUCGAUGCAACGCGAAGAACCUUACCUGGUCUUGACAUCCACGGAAGUUUUCAGAGAUGAGAAUGUGCCUUCGGGAACCGUGAGACAGGUGCUGCAUGGCUGUCGUCAGCUCGUGUUGUGAAAUGUUGGGUUAAGUCCCGCAACGAGCGCAACCCUUAUCCUUUGUUGCCAGCGGUCCGGCCGGGAACUCAAAGGACACUGCCAGUGAUAANCUGGGGGAAGGG